RNAcentral lists this ribosomal RNA (736 nucleotides) under Gymnothorax polygonius (polygon moray). Its description in RNAcentral is "partial 12S ribosomal RNA". It matches the Rfam family "Bacterial small subunit ribosomal RNA", at positions 356 to 1484 of the family's 1533-position model. Lineage: Eukaryota; Metazoa; Chordata; Actinopteri; Anguilliformes; Muraenidae. The record is from RNAcentral.
GACAAACAUUAAGCCAUGAGCGAAAGCUUGACUUAGUUAGGGUUAAUAGGGCCGGUAAAACUCGUGCCAGCAACCGCGGUUAUACGAGAGGCCCGAAUUGACACAUCACGGCGUAAAGUGUGAUUAGAGAUAAACCAGACUAGAGCCAAACACCCCUUAUACUGUCAUACGUCAUGGGGGUCACGAGGACCAACAACGAAAGUGGUUCUAAUAACCUAAUCUUGAACUCACGACAGCCAAGAUACAAACUGGGAUUAGAUACCCCACUAUGCUUGGCCUUAAACUAAGGCGAUAAACCUACAAACUUCGCCCGCCAGGGAACUACGAGCCCUAGCUUAAAACCCAAGGGACUUGGCGGUGCCUCAAACCCACCUAGAGGAGCCUGUCCUAUAACCGAUGAUCCCCGUUUAACCUCACCUCUCCUUGCCAAUCCCGCCUAUAUACCGCCGUCGCCAGUUUACCUUUUGAAAGAACAACAGUAAGCAAAACGGGUAUUACCCAACACGUCAGGUCGAGGUGUAGCGAAUGGAGGGGGAAGAGAUGGGCUACAUUUUCUGGCAACAGAACACUACGAAGAGCACAAUGAAAUAUGUGCGGCCGAAGGUGGAUUUAGCAGUAAAAAGAAAGAAGAGAGUUCUUUUGAAACCGGCCCUGAGGCGCGUACACACCGCCCGUCACUCUCCUCGAAAAACGAAAUGCCCAUACAUAAAAUUUUAGACCAAUAGAGAGGAGGCAA